This 361-nucleotide unclassified non-coding RNA is filed under the name fungal sp. Its description in RNAcentral is "partial internal transcribed spacer region". The stretch from base 1 to 46 matches the Rfam family "Eukaryotic small subunit ribosomal RNA", at positions 1786 to 1831 of the family's 1831-position model. The record is from RNAcentral. Lineage: Eukaryota; Fungi.
AAGUCGUAACAAGGUAACCGUAGGUGAACCUGCGGUUGGAUCAUUACAAAAUAUCCACCUGGAGGCGCAAGCCUCCAAUCCACCUCUUGUGCACCGUACUGUCUUUGGCGGGCUUGUCUGGGUUGUGCUGCUGCUGCUUUCCUUUUGGGGGGGCGGCGGCGGGAGCCUGAGCAACUUGCGGAGGGGACUUCCCUCUGACCGCCAAUACCCUACCCCACACCCCUGUGCCUACACACCCUGCCUCUGACACACCUUUCGUGGAGAGCCGCGCAACAGUCAGCUCUCCCUAGUGGGGGCGGUCUGGACUCGGCUCGACGCAACAAACGAAAAACAACUUUUGACAACGGAUCUCUUGGCUCUC